RNAcentral lists this ribosomal RNA (147 nucleotides) under Caenorhabditis brenneri. Its description in RNAcentral is "5.8S ribosomal RNA". It matches the Rfam family "5.8S ribosomal RNA". Rfam says of the family: 5.8S ribosomal RNA (5.8S rRNA) is a component of the large subunit of the eukaryotic ribosome. It is transcribed by RNA polymerase I as part of the 45S precursor that also contains 18S and 28S rRNA. Lineage: Eukaryota; Metazoa; Nematoda; Chromadorea; Rhabditida; Rhabditidae. The record is from Rfam by way of RNAcentral.
UAGCUUCAGCGAUUGAUCGGUCGCAUUGAGUGUCGAUGAAGCACACAGCUUGCUGCGGUACUCACCACGAGCAGGCACUUGGAGUGAAGGAAUUUCGAGCGCAUAGCACAAACUGGGUCAUCAAUCGGUACGUCUAGUUCACGGUUA